RNAcentral lists this ribosomal RNA (346 nucleotides) under Hydrogenophaga sp. Ca7-3J04. RNAcentral describes it as "partial 16S ribosomal RNA". It matches the Rfam family "Bacterial small subunit ribosomal RNA", at positions 1155 to 1508 of the family's 1533-position model. The record is from RNAcentral. Lineage: Bacteria; Pseudomonadati; Pseudomonadota; Betaproteobacteria; Burkholderiales; Comamonadaceae.
UAAUWGASUUCGSWCAACGUGAGGUGGAUACGUAAGUCUAUUGCCUAURGUSGGGUCAACGUCAUACAUUGCGGUACASAGGCAGCCAACCCGCGAGGGAAGCCHAUCCCAUAAAGCCSGUCGUAGUCCGGAUCGCAGUCUGCAACUCGACUGCGUGAAGUCGGAAUCGCUAGUAAUCGUGGAUCAGCAUGUCACGGUGAAUACGUUCCCGGGUCUUGUACACACCGCCCGUCACACCAUGGGAGCCGGGUCUCGCCAGAAGUAGUUAGCCUAACCSCAAGGAGGGCGAUUACCACGGCGGGGUUCGUGACUUGGGGUGAAGGUCGUAACAAGGUASCCGUAUSSG